AUGGCCACAUCACAUUGAAAUGCCGUUUCCCAUAUGAACACUGCUUAAGCAAUGUUGAACCCGGUCAGUACCUAGAUGAGUGACCUCUUGGGAACACCAGGUGUUGUAAU
Acanthosepion pharaonis is the source of this 110-nucleotide non-coding RNA. Lineage: Eukaryota; Metazoa; Mollusca; Cephalopoda; Sepiida; Sepiidae. The record is from the annotation of a GenBank genome assembly.